This 440-nucleotide long non-coding RNA is filed under the name Panax ginseng (ginseng). RNAcentral's name for it is "long non-coding RNA (PGIN_LNC002960)". The record is from RNAcentral. Lineage: Eukaryota; Viridiplantae; Streptophyta; Magnoliopsida; Apiales; Araliaceae.
CAAAAACACCACCACCACUAGUAUUUAUCCAUAAAAUGCUGCUACAUCAACUUGAGUCAUGUUACCAUCAUAAGUUUACCCAGUGAUGAGUUGAGCUGUCCGUAGAAUGCUACUCUAGUUUUAGAGCAGAAAUAUAAUCAGACGAAAAGGAAGAAAAAAACACUAGUGACCGUUAAAUUUCUGUUACAAACUGAGUGAGCAUGAUGGUAGUUGCAGUAACGUCACCAAGUCCACCCUCCCAAACUCCCUCACUUCACAAAUUUAACAACCAUCACUCUCAUCUCCUUCACCUCUUAAACCAAUCCACUUCCAUGUCUGAGCUCAAGCAAAUCCACGCCCAAACACUCCGUACCACAUCCACCCAUUAUUCAGACACCCUCUUUCUUCACAGUCGAAUCUUUCAUUUCUCAUCUUUACAUGACCUUGACUACACUUUCCGC